RNAcentral lists this ribosomal RNA (411 nucleotides) under Salmonella enterica. Its description in RNAcentral is "bacterial SSU rRNA". It matches the Rfam family "Bacterial small subunit ribosomal RNA", at positions 1 to 408 of the family's 1533-position model. Lineage: Bacteria; Pseudomonadati; Pseudomonadota; Gammaproteobacteria; Enterobacterales; Enterobacteriaceae. The record is from RNAcentral.
AAAUUGAAGAGUUUGAUCAUGGCUCAGAUUGAACGCUGGCGGCAGGCCUAACACAUGCAAGUCGAACGGUAACAGGAAGCAGCUUGCUGCUUCGCUGACGAGUGGCGGACGGGUGAGUAAUGUCUGGGAAACUGCCUGAUGGAGGGGGAUAACUACUGGAAACGGUGGCUAAUACCGCAUAACGUCGCAAGACCAAAGAGGGGGACCUUCGGGCCUCUUGCCAUCAGAUGUGCCCAGAUGGGAUUAGCUAGUUGGUGAGGUAACGGCUCACCAAGGCGACGAUCCCUAGCUGGUCUGAGAGGAUGACCAGCCACACUGGAACUGAGACACGGUCCAGACUCCUACGGGAGGCAGCAGUGGGGAAUAUUGCACAAUGGGCGCAAGCCUGAUGCAGCCAUGCCGCGUGUAUGA